Molecule: transfer RNA, 75 nt
Filed under: Rhodopseudomonas sp. BR0C11
Lineage: Bacteria; Pseudomonadati; Pseudomonadota; Alphaproteobacteria; Hyphomicrobiales; Nitrobacteraceae
Description: tRNA-Arg
Rfam family: tRNA
About the family: Transfer RNA (tRNA) molecules are approximately 80 nucleotides in length.
Source: RNAcentral
GGGCGCAUCUGCCAACUGGAUAGGCUCGGGUCUUCUAAGCCCGGAAACGAGGUUCGAGUCCUCGUGCGCCCGCCA